GAUUAUUCCUGUUUUGGGUUUAAACAGAGAAAAUUGAAUUGAUAAAUAUGAUCUGUGGGAGAUACUGUAUUCACGUUGGCUUUAGUGAGCUUGUGAGCUGAAAUUCUGUUUUGUUCCGAAAGCAAGCAAAUUGGUUGAGACAAGUAGGAUUGAGCUUAGUUCUGGCUUUACCAACACAAUUGUUAUGCUUUGAGGUUAUUAGUCUAUUUUUCUUUGGGCGGUGAUGCGUCCAAUGCUAGAGAAAUGCUUGCUCAACAGGUGCAUUUUAUGUCAUUUCUUUAUAGUAGUGUUUUCCCUUGGAUUAGAGCAGUAUAGAGAUGAGCCUGUUGCAUUUGGGAAGCUAAAAACAGAUUAUUAUUCUGAAAUCAAUAUCACGCCGUAUUAUCUGGAAUCAGGAUCUCAAUUAUUGAGAAAUAAUUCAGUUUCCUGUGAGGAUCUUGAAGGAGUUGGAUCAUUUGAUACAACGUGCUUGCUGAAUUCAAACUUGUAUAUAGAUUCUGACUUGUAUGUGUUGGGUACUGGGAACUUGGAGAUACUUCCUCAGGUUUCUAUUAACUGUCCAAUUCAAGGCUGUAUUAUAAGUUUCAAUUUGUCUGGCAAUGUUAAAGUUGGGCAAGAUGCAAGAGUUCUAGCUGGUUCUGUUAUUUUUUCUGCGCUCAGUCUGACGUUGGGACACAAUUCUUCUAUAAAUACUACUGCAUUGGGUGGAGAACCACCUUCUCAGACUAGUGGGACGCCAGUUGGGUAUGAUGGUGCUGGCGGAGGGCAUGGUGGACGAG
Molecule: unclassified non-coding RNA, 779 nt
Filed under: Hevea brasiliensis (rubber tree)
Lineage: Eukaryota; Viridiplantae; Streptophyta; Magnoliopsida; Malpighiales; Euphorbiaceae
Source: RNAcentral